CCACGUUUGCAGCAUUGAGGAGCCUGGCCCCUCCCCUUCCUGUGUGGAACUUGGAAUUCGAACGGCAGGCGGGAAGUGCUCUAGCAGGGGAGUCUGACCUUGUGAGGGAAUACCUGUGUCCCCCCUUUUUUCCCCUUUUUACCCAAUAAAACCCUGCCUUACUCACCCUUUAAAUCAUCUGCGCGCCUCAAUUUUCAUGGCCGUGGGACGGACAAGAACUUUGUCUUCAGCUGAACUAAGAAAAAGUCCUGCAACAUUUUUGGCGCGCAAUGUGGGGGCACCAGAAGCGAAAGAACACCCCCUCUUAAACAUGGAGAUCGUUAUAUAGAAUGUCCAAGGCAAAUUAAGGAAAAUAAUUAUUGUAGCUGAUGAAGCAGAAACCCUAUUAGAGCUAAAUGCUACUUCACAGUACUCAGUGGUGGAGGUUCUGAAGGCACCGUUGAGCUGUUGCAACUGUUCUGCUGCUAUAGUUCCUGUGGCCUCCUUUGCACUCCUGUUUCAAUCUGAGGACACACAGACCCACCCGGGAACCACACCCUGGAUGCUACCUGCUGCCUGUACUCCAAAGUGGGGAGAGAACUUUAGAUUUGGG
This is a long non-coding RNA of Pan paniscus (pygmy chimpanzee), 592 nucleotides long. The record is from Ensembl. Lineage: Eukaryota; Metazoa; Chordata; Mammalia; Primates; Hominidae.